Molecule: ribosomal RNA, 422 nt
Filed under: uncultured bacterium
Lineage: Bacteria
Description: partial 16S ribosomal RNA
Rfam family: Bacterial small subunit ribosomal RNA
Source: RNAcentral
AAUUUUGGACAAUGGGGGAAACCAUGAUCCAGCCAUCCCGCGUGUAUAAUGAAGGCCUUCGGGUUGUAAAGUACUUUUUGCAGAGAAGAAAAGGUAUCUCCUAAUACGAGAUACUGCUGACGGUAUCUGCAGAAUAAGCACCUGCUAACUACGUUCCAGCAUCCGCGGUAAUACGGAGGGCUGAAACGUUAAUCGGAAUUACUGGGCGUAAAGCGGGUGUAGGCGGUUCGGAAAGAAAGAUGUGAAAUCCCAGGGCUCAACCUUGGAACUGCAUUUUUAACUGCCGAGCUAGAGUAUGUCAGAGGGGGGUAGAAUUCCACGUGUAGCAGUGAAAUGCGUAGAUAUGUGGAGGAAUACCGAUGGCGAAGGCAGCCCCCUGGGAUAAUACUGACGCUCAGACACGAAAGCGUGGGGAGCAAACA